AAGAGAGUGCAAGAGAACGUGAAACCGUUAUAGUGGAAGCAGAUAGAGUUGACGUAUCUAGUAUGUAUUCAGUUUUCGGGCUGGGCAAUUUGGGUUGUAAAGUUCUGCAAAGUCUUUUAUUCUCAUUGUUGUUUAGUUUGUAAAUGCAUUUGCAUACCGAGUGCGCCGAAUCGGUUGAAUUUGCCGUUUGAUAGUUUUAUAGAGGACUAACUUGUUGGAACCCUGUAAAACUUUAUGACGGAUGAAUUUGGCUGUCAAAUUGAGUUGGUUUUUCGUGAUAAUAGUUGUGAAUUGGAGUUGUUUUUGUACGAUGCAUGCGUUUUGCAGUUAUGGCUUUAAUUCACAGCUCUUAUUGCUCUGCUCUUUAUUCGGUGUUUAGUCAAUCACCUACCUGACCCGUCUUGAAACACGGACCAAGGAGUUUAAGGUGUACGCAAGUCAUUGAUUGUUUAAAGUCAUAGGCGUAAUGAAAGUGGGACACUUGGUGUCUGUGAUGUGAGCUUUUUUUGUUUCGACGAACUAAGCGCAACAUCGACCCAUGACUAGGGCUUGCUCUGUUGUGGAGUCUGAGCGUACGCUUUGAGACCCGAAAGAUGGUGAACUAUGCCCGAACAGGACGAAGUCAGAGGAAACUCUGAUGGAAGUCCGAAGCGGUUCUGACGUGCAAAUCGAUCGUCUGAUUUGGGUAUAGGGGCGCAAGACUAAUCGAACCAUC
RNAcentral lists this ribosomal RNA (715 nucleotides) under Aphelenchoides fragariae. Its description in RNAcentral is "eukaryotic LSU rRNA". It matches the Rfam family "Eukaryotic large subunit ribosomal RNA", at positions 381 to 944 of the family's 3401-position model. The record is from RNAcentral. Lineage: Eukaryota; Metazoa; Nematoda; Chromadorea; Rhabditida; Aphelenchoididae.